GUGCCUUCUCUUUCUGGGGCUCUACCGACUGCUGAGACUUCUCCUAAGCAACCUUUGUGAAGGCUCCCUCUUGUUUGUUUAUUUUGAUUCAAGUAUAUGUACAUAUUUGUAACUUAUCGGGGAUAUCAAUAAAUAAGCUUUCCUUCAUUUCAACGUAUUGUGUUAAAUACACCAAAGCCUUCUUCGCUAAGUUCUUUGAAUUUUCUUUUGUUGAAACUUGUAUGUUGAAGCUUUGUGAGUGGAGCAUGUAGGUUGAGGUAGUGUUCCCUUAAUUUCCCGAGUGAGGAAAACUUCUCGGUUGGAGACUUGAAAAAUCCAAGUCACUGAGUGGGAUCGGC
This 338-nucleotide long non-coding RNA is filed under the name Malus domestica (apple). RNAcentral's name for it is "long non-coding RNA (MDOM_LNC013801)". Lineage: Eukaryota; Viridiplantae; Streptophyta; Magnoliopsida; Rosales; Rosaceae. The record is from RNAcentral.